This 870-nucleotide long non-coding RNA is filed under the name Rhinopithecus bieti (black snub-nosed monkey). RNAcentral describes it as "lncRNA (ENSRBIG00000046377.1)". The record is from RNAcentral. Lineage: Eukaryota; Metazoa; Chordata; Mammalia; Primates; Cercopithecidae.
UGUGUGUGUGCAUGCGCAAGUGUGUGUGAGAAAGAAAAAAAUACAUCACUGGAAUAUUUUCAAACACAUUUUCCCCUAUAACUCCUGCAUCACUGCUUCAAAAGAUUAGGUGUCGACUCUAGUAUGUACAGUCUCUGCAAAUCCCUGAUAUGAAAUGCGUGGUUCUCUUGCAGACUGGCGGAAAGAACAGUUCCAGGCCUGUGAGUGACUUUGUGUUCUUUCUGGGUGCUCCUCCUGCUGCCUCCUUGGCUUCCGGCUCCUCCUUCAGUCCUCUGUGAUGACGCAGAUGCUGGCACUAUCAGGUCUCUCACUCUGGAUCCAGGCUCUGCCCAUCCCAGCCUUGCCACCUCUUAUGAAAAGAAGAGUGUGACCUGGAAGGACACCUGUAGGGGCUCAGAUGGCACCUAUAGCAUGUUGGGCCUUGAGGGCAUCACAUCAGGGCGAUGUGACUAGGAGGUGGAGGUCAAGCAUGGGACAGCAGUGAGUGGACUCUGGGGAUCUGCAGGGAAGAUGUGAAAAGGACAGAUUGGUACAAAGGGUCCCCAGAUAAGGGGUUCUGUGUUGUGGGGUGAUAUGACAAUGUAUAUUGUGCCAGGACUGAACCUGAUACUUUGCUAUACCGUAGGCAGAUUUCCUAUAAGGUGGGAGUUUUCCUGGACUCCAGUGAAGGGGAUGUCUCCUUCCAUAACAUGAUUGAUGGGUCCCACAUUUUCUCCUUCCCUCCGACUUUCUUCUCUGAAACCUCCUUUCCGUACUUCAUGUUAAGGUCAGGAAAUGUAUCCCUGACCAUCUGCUCAGUGGAAACACAUCUUCUUUCCAAGCCUCAGUAAGUUUCUGCUACCUGUGAUAAAGCUGUGCUGCGUUAACUCA